This 477-nucleotide ribosomal RNA is filed under the name uncultured bacterium. RNAcentral describes it as "bacterial SSU rRNA". It matches the Rfam family "Bacterial small subunit ribosomal RNA", at positions 28 to 494 of the family's 1533-position model. The record is from RNAcentral.
GAUGAACGCUAGCUACAGGCUUAACACAUGCAAGUCGAGGGGCAGCAUGUCGGUUGCUUGCAACCGACGAUGGCGACCGGCGCACGGGUGAGUAACGCGUAUCCAACCUACCCUUGUCCAUCGGAUAACCCGUCGAAAGGCGGCCUAACACGAUAUGCGGUUCUCAGCAGGCAUCUAACGAGAACGAAAUGUGAAGGAGAAGGAUGGGGAUGCGUCUGAUUAGCUUGUUGGCGGGGUAACGGCCCACCAAGGCGACGAUCAGUAGGGGUUCUGAGAGGAAGGUCCCCCACAUUGGAACUGAGACACGGUCCAAACUCCUACGGGAGGCAGCAGUGAGGAAUAUUGGUCAAUGGACGGGAGGUCUGAACCAGCCAAGUAGCGUGCAGGAUGACGGCCCUAUGGGUUGUAAACUGCUUUUAUAGGGGGAUAAAGUGUGCCACGUGUGGCAUAUUGCGAGGUACCCUAUGAUAAGACGGC